Long non-coding RNA from Marmota monax (woodchuck), 4645 nucleotides. RefSeq lists it as uncharacterized. NCBI's taxonomy places the organism in Eukaryota, Metazoa, Chordata, Mammalia, Rodentia, Sciuridae. The record is from RefSeq and is a predicted model, not a curated record. The transcript has 3 exons.
UCUGCUUCACAACCUGAGACGUUGAAAAGGAAAUCAUUAAUUGAGGAUUGCAUUCAGAAAAUCAAGCAUAUAUCACCUCUCUACAGGGUCACUACCUACUAGACAUUGUGCAGAAAAGUGCAGAAUUAUUUUGCUUAAAUUCUACACAAACAAUAUAAAAUAGGGUCUACUAGUCCCAUUUUGCUGACAAAGAAACCGAAGAGAUAACGUCUCUGCUCAAGGUCACCUGGCAGUGAGCAGCCGGCGUGGUGAGCCAGGGCUGUGACCGUGGCCUGUGGGCUGACAGCUGGGGUCACCGGGAGCACUGCCGGCUCCUAACCAUGCUUCCUGGGCGCCUCGCUCUUGAAACAUAGAAAGCACAAUUGAUUCCUUUCCUCCUGCCACCCUCUGCCCACCCCGAGGCUCAGCCGCAUGCCCUGCCUCCAGAGCUUUGGGAAGAAUUUCAGCUCCUGUGAGUAAAUCAUGGAAAGGUUACAGGUGCUCUAGGUGAUGCAGGACUGUCUUUAAUUAUUGCAAUUGCUCCCGAAAAUUCUACUCUCUGUGUCCUCUUUCAGCAUCACACAGACUUUCACAAGCAUAAAGCCAAAGAAAAAACACAGCCAACAAAGACGAAGCCGGAGAACCCGCUUCUGAGGAAUUCCUCUUGCAAGCGGCUAAUUGAAACAUCCCCUCGGUUGGUGCCGCUCGGUUUUGACAGCCGCUCUGCCCCUUGUCAUAAAAUCGAUGGUCUUCUUCUUCCUCCCCUUCCUGGGCCGCCUUGCUCUGACGGGGGCCCUUCCUUCCCACUGAGUCUUCCUCGGAUCUCGGGGUUAAGUGGUCUUUUCAUGCCGCCCAGCCAGACAGGCACAAGACAUGGAGAGGCUUUUGAGAAUGAGCCAUGUUAAGUGGGCUUGAUGGGGGUCACGGCCACCAUUACUGCUAUCACCACAGUGAUAAAAUGGAGUGGUAAUGACGGGGAAGGUACUUAUCACUGUCUUCCUGAGAUCACUUAAGAUACUUUGGGUCUGAAGCUUUUUGCCAAAGACAAAUGGAACAUGCACAAGAUAGACGUGGCCACCGCAGAAGGCUUGUGUGUGACCCUGUGUGGGCCUGUGUCCACCUGUGUGGCUCCAGGAAGGGAGGGUGUGGUCAGGCCAGGGCCUGUCCUGUUCUGUGAGGCAGCCACCUGUGGGCUCAGGAUCGGGCGGCAGACACUGCAGGGUGGGAUCGCGGGCUGCCUUUCUCAAAUUGCCGACCUGCUGUUUGUUUUCCUAAACUUCUGCGGUCAUUGGCGGGGAUGGACCCUUCAGAACCUAACUCACAGCAGCUCAGUCAGAGGGGACCAGAACUAGCUACCCUGAGCCCGGCCUGGUUCAGUGCCAUCACUAGUGUGCUGUGAGACUUGGGUGAGAUACUGAACUUCUUUAUGUCUCUGUUCCCCAGGGUCCCCGACUCCUCCUGGCCAGCCUGGAACUGUCUUGGAUUGCACACUGCAGUACCCAGUCCUGGGAAGCACUCAGUCCUGGGCAACUCCGGGUGAUGGGCGACAGUGUUCAACUGGCACACACCAGACCUGUAGACACACACACACACACACACACACACACAACUUCACGUUUUCAGAGCCAUGUUAGAUUCAUAGCAGAAUCGGGAGGAGGGCAUGGAAAAUCCCACCCACUGCCCACCAUGGAGGCCCACCUACCUCACGUGAACCCUGGCUCAGGGGUGUGUCUAUUGUAAAUGACACACCUCUGGGGACACACUGUCAGGUGGUCUGGGAGUCCAGCACUCUGUGGGUUUGGACUAACAUGGGCCAGCGCCUGCAGGGCUCUCAUGGAGCAUGCCCUCUGCCUCGGAACCUGCGCCCCAGUCCUGGCACCCACCAAUGCCCUGCACUGUCUCCACGCUGGGUUCUCCCAUGAGCUUCUCCCACACUGUGGGCUUCAGAUUGUACAGAAUGCAGCACGCUUACGGUUCUAUUUUAAGUUAUUUGUAGGUUUUAAUGAAGCAAAUCACUUUUCUGGGCUUUAAUUACAUCACCCAUAAAAUGAAGUACUUACAGCAAUUUUAAAACCUAUUCCAGUUCUAACGUUGUGCUAUUCUGCAAUCAUUAAUAGCUCUAAGAUUUGUAUUGAUAAACUUUUUAUAAAGUGCUGAGAAUAGUGUAACAAGCCCCCUUUCCCACAAAAGCUUCACGGAGCAGCUGUGUUGAAAGCAAGGUCCCAGGAAUGUGCACUCCAACGUCCUCCUGGUGAGGACACAGGCAGCACCGACCCGACCAGUGGAGACUUACCCCGUUCCUCUUCCUAGAGUCACUGUUGAUAUAUUCACACAGACCUGUCAUUCGACAAGAUGACAGCAUUUUAAAAUUUGAAAUGUAACUCACAGUUGCCAAUAUCCUUCACUGAAGAACAGACAUUGGCCCAGAAAAUGAGAGGAGUGGGUCUAGACAGAGGAGGCCUGAUCCAGGGCCAGCGGCUGCAGACCUGGGUCUAGACAGAGGAGGCCCCAUCCAGAGCCAAAGGCUGCAGACCUGGAUCUAGACAGAGGAGGUCCCAUCCAGAGCCAAAGGCUGCAGACCUGGGUCUAGACAGAGGAGGCCCCAUCCAGAGCCAAAGGCUGCAGACCUGGAUCUAGACAGAGGAGGUCCCAUCCAGAGCCAAAGGCUGCAGACCUGGGUCUAGACAGAGGAGGCCCCAUCCAGAGCCAAAGGCUGCAGACCUGGGUCUAGACAGAGGAGGCCCCAUCCAGGGCCAGCGGCUGCAGACCUGGGUCUAGACAGAGGAGGCCCCAUCCAGGGCCAGCGGCUGCAGACCUGGGUCUAGACAGAAGAGGCCUGAUCCAAGGCCAGUGGCUGCAGAUGCGGGUGUAGACAGAGGAGGCCUGAUCCGGAGCCAGUGGCUGCAGACCUGGGUCUAGACAGAGGAGGCCCCAUCCGGGGCCAGCGGCUGCAGACCUGGGUCUAGACAGAGGAGGCCCGAUCCAGGGCUAGCAGCUGCAGACGCGGGUGUAGACAGAGGAGGCCUGGUCUAGGGCCAGCAGCUGCAGACGCGGGUAUAGACAGAGGAGGCCUGGUCCAGGGCUAACAGCUGCAGACGCAGGUGUAGACAGAGGAGGCCUGAUCCAGGGCCAGUGGCUGCAGACCUGGGUCUAGACAGAGGAGGCCUGGUCUAGGGCCAGUGGCUGCAGACCUGGGUCUAGACAGAGGAGGCCUGAUCCGGGGCCAGCGGCUGCAGAACUGGGUCUAGACAGGGGAGGCCCCAUCCAGAGCCAGCGGCUGCAGACCUGGGUCUAGACAGGUGAGGCCUGAUCUGGGGCCAGCCACUGCAGACCCAGGUCCACAGCAGAGGAGAUCUGAUCCAGGGCCAGGGGCUUCAGAUGCAGGUGUAGACAGAGGAGGCCUGGUCCAGGGCCAGUGGCUACAGACCUGGGUCUAGACAGAGGAGGCCUGGUCCAGGGCUAGCAGCUGCAGACACGGGUAUAGACAGAGGAGGCCUGGUCCAGGGCUAACAGCUGCAGACGCAGGUGUAGACAGAGGAGGCCUGGUCUAGGGCCAGCAGCUGCAGACGCGGGUAUAGACAGAGGAGGCCUGGUCCAGGGCUAUCGGCUGCAGACGCGGGUGUAGACAGAGGAGGCCUGGUCCAGGGCCAGUGGCUGCCUGGCUGGGCCAGCGGCCUCACAGUCCAAUUUCUUCAAGGGAAACCCAGAGCUUUCUGGAGUCUGAGUUGGAGCGUGGAGAUGUGGUCUGCGGCCUUCACACACUAACUUCAGCAAUAGUGGAAAGUAAGGUUGCAACCAGCCACACUUCAGAUCAAGACACAAACCACAGGGAGCAGGGGUGAAGCCGUCCUUCACCAAUCCUAAGUAGCACUUUCUUUUUUUUUUCCUUUUCUAACGAAUAUUUACCCUCUUCCACAUCAGUACUGUGACCCGCUGCCUGCAUACCUUCGUCAGCUGACUGAUGCAUCAACAUGGAUCUAGCCAAUGGAUGUGGCCACAAAAUUCUGUGCCUCUCUGCCCUACCACUCUGUCAUGUCAUCCUUGGAAGAGCUGAUGGCCCGGGAGUUCCAUGCAUGCCCUCGGCUCAGGGGUCUUCCAUGCUUCCCCACAGCCUGGAAGGAUUGAAGAAGGGACCGGAAGGCUCUUGGGUAUGGAGGCCUGCCUGCCACUCCACACGCUGCCUCCAGUGACUGCCAUGCACUUGAGAGCAGCCAGGUGGCCUUCUCACCUGGCUACCGCAGAUGGCCCUUAGAAACAGCUGGAUGCUCAUGGCGGUCCCAGGCCUGAGAGUCCUGCACCCCGUAGAGACCCCUCUAGAACAGCACUGACCAACACAUCUGGAGGAGAACCACAUGAGGAGAUAAAAAUCCUCAGUAAAAACAAAGAAACAGGGGCUGCUCUUGACAUCUCCGCCCUGCAGAGUUCCGAGGGCCCUCUUCUGUGUCAAGCAGACAUUCCAUCUUCUCGCUGAGCCUCCCCAUCCCCUCCUCCCCCUCCUAUCCCCUCCUCCUGUGGUGCUGUGGCUGGUGAUAUUGACAGACUAAAGGAUUACUCGUUUCCCACAGCCCCACAAGGUAAAUUAAAAAAAGGAAAAGUCAAAGCUAUUUCUGGACCCUCUCGCACGUAGGGACUCCCAACUCAAUACAUCCUGGUUGCUUGGAAAUGG